CUGACUUGGAUUCUUGUUCUUCUUAAGUGUGGGGUCCCGAGAGAUUGAUAUCUACAACAGCAUGCCGGCAAAUUCGUUUGUCAGUGUGGCAGCGGAACUAGCUUUAGGAAGCAUGGCCAUUUUAACAGCAGUAAUAUAUCUAGUUGAUGUUGCUCUCCGAAUUGUUGGUAUUACAAAGGGGAACAAAGACUGAGGUGGCUGAAAAUAUAAAAUGUUGUGUAAUAUUCAUUUAUUAAAUGAAAACAAAUAUUUGUUAUAUGUCCCUAUAUCUGUAAAAAAUAUAAUUUGCACAUUAUUACAGUGAAAGCAGUUGAGCAGUGUACACAGACCAACUUCACUUCAUAAAUUAAUUUACAGAUAAAAAAUAUAAUUUGCACAUUAUUACAGUGAAAGCAGUUGAGCAGUGUACACAGACCAAUUUCACUUCAUAAAUUAAUUUACAAGCUACUUCAACUGGUAUAACUACAACUGCAGUAAAUACGGAGUAACACGAUAUCUACUACUACGUUAUACAUUACUUUCUAUCUACUUUUGUAAAACCUUCAAGUAAAACCCAUUAUUCAUUUGAACUGCGCUUCAAAUUAAUAUGUAGCCUGAUCAGCUUAAUAUAUAUAUAUAAUGACGUACAUCUUGAUUGCUUCUAUUUUAACUGUGCUGUUAAUACAUAAAAUGAUAUCUUAAUCAUGUGAUAAAGAUAAUGACCUAGGAAUUAUAAUGACGUCUAUGAACUUUAACUUGUAACUUUAACUUAUGAUAUAAUGGAAACCCUGAGAAAAUGUUCUAAUGGUGUGAAAGCUUGGAAACUCUUCUGCUUAACUAUAACUGGGAAAUAAUCCCAUUUAAAGAUAUAAAAAGGAUGAUGGGUUUCAUGUAUCGCGGGAGCAGUUAGAAGAGAGAUAAUAGCGUUUUUUCAAAUGGGAGUAGCAAUUGAGAGAUGUGAAGCAGGAGUGUUUUUUGCGGAAAUGGUGAAAAGAUUCUCACAACAAAAAUAUGAUAAUAGCCAGUGUCAGGAAUACCUAGACAUGAAAAAGAGAAAUGAAGAGGAUGCCAGAAAAGCUAAUACAGAUAAGAUAAAAUUAUAUUGGAAACAGGAAUACCUGGAUGGGAAACAGGAAAGUGGUAAAGAUACCAGAGAAUAUUAUGCUCCCAAGGAAGAGUUAUAGUUACAAGCAUAUGCUCCAAAAAAAGAAGAGCCUGGUUGAAUUUAAGCUUGAAAUGCUCAAGGGACUGCAGAUGAAGAGUUGAAGGAGACAUACCUGUUUUUUUGCCUAAGGAACCAAAACAGAAAAGAGAGAUUAAGGCAGUACUAGUCCGACAGUUAUCUGAUAGGCAUGAGUUAAAAACUAUGUAUAUCAAUAGUUUUGAGAUGACAGAAAACAACAAGAGAGUGGAUAAAAUGUGGGAAACAAAAAACAGCGUCAUAGAUAGUUCUGAGACAACAGAAAACAGCAAGAGUGUUGUAGAAAUAGAGAAGCAGGAAACAGGAACAAGGAACCAGUUGUACAACAUGAGUGUUGUAGAAA
Eurytemora carolleeae is the source of this 1523-nucleotide long non-coding RNA. RefSeq lists it as uncharacterized. The transcript has 4 exons. The record is from RefSeq and is a predicted model, not a curated record. NCBI's taxonomy places the organism in Eukaryota, Metazoa, Arthropoda, Copepoda, Calanoida, Temoridae.